RNAcentral lists this ribosomal RNA (406 nucleotides) under uncultured bacterium. RNAcentral describes it as "partial 16S ribosomal RNA". It matches the Rfam family "Bacterial small subunit ribosomal RNA", at positions 29 to 526 of the family's 1533-position model. The record is from RNAcentral.
AUUGAACGCUGGCGGCAGGCCUAACACAUGCAAGUCGAACGCGUGGCGGACGGGGGAGUAAUAUCUGGGGAACUGCCCGUGGGGGAGGGGUAACUACAGGAAACGCGAGAUCAUACCGCAUACCAUAGGAUAUGGGCCGAUGGGGUUAGCUAGGAGGUGGGGGAACGGCUCACCUGGGCGACGAUCCCUAGCGGGUCUGGGAGGAUGACCAGCCACACGGGAACGGAGACACGGUCCAGACUCCUACGGGAGGCAGCAGUGGGGAAUAGUGCACAAUGGGCGCAAGCCUGAUGCAGCCAUGCCGCGUGUAUGAAGAAGGCCUUCGGGUUGUAAAGUACUUUCAGCGAGGAGGCGUUACUCGCAGAAGAAGCACCGGCUAACUCCGUGCCAGCAGCCGCGGUAAUAC